GUGGCCGUAGCUCAAGUGGUGGAGCGCUCGCUUGUGGCGCGAGAGGUUGCGGGAUCGAAGCCCGUCGGUCACCCCA
This 76-nucleotide transfer RNA is filed under the name marine sediment metagenome. RNAcentral's name for it is "tRNA-His". It matches the Rfam family "tRNA". From Rfam's summary of the family: Transfer RNA (tRNA) molecules are approximately 80 nucleotides in length. The record is from RNAcentral.